UAUUGUAACCUUGCAUAGAGAAGAUGGGCAUUGAGGCAUAGAGCACGCAACAAGACCUUGUUUUUUGGGUCUCGAACGAUUGUUACGACCUACGCGCCAAUUGUAAUCGUAGGGGACAAGGGAAUACUGAUAUCCAUUAAUAAUUGGUGGUUGCCGAUUUAAUUGCUAGGCGCUAUCUGUGGUUCGGAUUUGACAAGGACGAGACAAACAAAGAACGGUUGGCGAAACCGAUGUGAGAAUGGAAUGAUAAAAUGGGGUAUGUACUGCCUCAUUGUGUAAGACAAACAUCACGAGGUUUACUCUCAGAUUUGGAGGAAGAUGUGUUAUCGGGUGGACUGUAAAACCUGUGGGAAGUACACAUGGGGGGGUUGUGGCAGGCAUUUGAACUCUCUCUACAACACCAUCGAUGAGCAAAAGCGCUGUGACUGCCGUCCCUGGCCUGGUGUUGCUGUCACACCCUCUCAACCAGCACCGCCGCAAUCUGCAAACCCCUCUCAAGGCAAUAGUAACCCUCAAAAUUCUUGAAGCAGCCUCGGAUGCUGAUCUGCUGUGAUUAUUUUAGCCUGAUGGUGGGAUGCAGAGGGAUAGAGAUGGAUAUUGUCGGAUGCCAUCGUGCCUUGCAAUAAACAAAUGGUUAAGGUCGCUUAUAUUAUAUUAAUAAAUGUAAUCUUCGACUAGUCAUGAGCUUGUGACUCAGAUUAUUCUAAAUUCUUCUCUAUGUUAAUGGGUCUAUUAAUAAAAAAUAAAGAAUAAAUUCCUCUGCUCUUGUGCUAGCUA
Molecule: long non-coding RNA, 777 nt
Organism: Arachis duranensis
Lineage: Eukaryota; Viridiplantae; Streptophyta; Magnoliopsida; Fabales; Fabaceae
Exons: 2
Source: RefSeq, a predicted model, not a curated record